RNAcentral lists this unclassified non-coding RNA (380 nucleotides) under uncultured bacterium. RNAcentral describes it as "contains 16S-23S intergenic spacer region". The record is from RNAcentral.
UCCGGUUUAGCACCGGCAGUCUUCCCAGAGUCCCCGCCAUAACGCGCUGGCAACUGAGAACGGGGGUUGCGCUCGUUGCGGGACUUAACCCAACGUCUCACGACACGAGCUGACGACAGCCAUGCAGCACCUGUGCACGGGCUCCGAAGAGGGCCCUCGGUUUCUCGAGGGUUUCCCGUGUAUGUCAAGCCUAGGUAAGGUUCUUCGCGUUGCGUCGAAUUGAACCACAUGCUCCGCUGCUUGUGCGGGUCCCCGUCAAUUCCUUUGAGUUUUAGCCUUGCGGCCGUACUCCCCAGGCGGGGUACUUAAUGCGUUAGCUUCGGCACAGGAGGAGUCGACACCUCCUACACCUAGUACCCAUCGUUUACGGCGUGGACUAC